AAGCGGUGGAGCAUGUGGCUUAAUUCGAGGCUACGCGCAAAACCUUAUCCCGGGCUUGACAUGCACGGAUUAGCCGGCGGAAACGUCGGCGAGGCCGCAAGGUACAACGUGCACAGGUGCUGCAUGGCUGUCGUCAGCUCGUGUCGCGAGAUGUUGGGUUCAGUCCCGUAACGAGCGAAACCCCUGUGACUAGUUGCCAGCACGUCGUGGUGGGCACUCUAGUCAGACCGCCGGCGUCAAGCCGGAGGAAGGCGGGGACG
RNAcentral lists this ribosomal RNA (260 nucleotides) under uncultured Planctomycetota bacterium. RNAcentral's name for it is "uncultured planctomycete partial 16S ribosomal RNA". It matches the Rfam family "Bacterial small subunit ribosomal RNA", at positions 927 to 1181 of the family's 1533-position model. Lineage: Bacteria; Pseudomonadati; Planctomycetota. The record is from RNAcentral.